RNAcentral lists this small RNA (123 nucleotides) under Marmota monax (woodchuck). Lineage: Eukaryota; Metazoa; Chordata; Mammalia; Rodentia; Sciuridae. The record is from RNAcentral.
GCUGGGCGCGGGGGCGCACGCCUGUAAUCCCAGAAGCACGGGAGGCUGAGGUAGGAGGAUCUAGAGUUCAAAGCCUCAAGUAACUUUGCGAGGCUCUAACAACUUAGCGAAAACCUGUCUCUA